UGCAAGUCGAACGGAAAGGCCCUUCGGGGUACUCGAGUGGCGAACGGGUGAGUAACACGUGGGUGAUCUGCCCUGCACUUCGGGAUAAGCCUGGGAAACUGGGUCUAAUACCGGAUAUGACCUUGGGAUGCAUGUCCUUUGGUGGAAAGCUUUUGCGGUGUGGGAUGGGCCCGCGGCCUAUCAGCUUGUUGGUGGGGUUAAGGCCUACCAAGGCGACGACGGGUAGCCGGCCUGAGAGGGUGACCGGCCACACUGGGACUGAGAUACGGCCCAGACUCCUACGGGAGGCAGCAGUGGGGAAUAUUGGUCAAUGGGCGAGAGCCUGAACCAGCCAUCCCGCGUGCAGGAUGACGGCCCUACGGGUUGUAAACUGCUUUUAUGUACCAAGAAUGUGUUCUACGUGUAGGAUUUUGACGGUAGUACAUGAAUAAGCAUCGGCUAACUCCGUGCCAGCAGCCGCGGUAAUACGGAGGAUGCAAGCGUUAUCCGGAUUCAUUGGGUUUAAAGGGUGCGUAGGCGGCUAUAUAAGUCAGUGGUGAAAUGCUGCAGCUCAACUGUAGAACUGCCAUUGAAACUGUAUAGCUUGAGUGCGCCUGAGGUAGGCGGAAUGAGUAGUGUAGCGGUGAAAUGCUUAGAUAUUACUCAGAACACCGAUUGCGAAGGCAGCUUACUAAAGCGUAACUGACGCUGAUGCACGAAAGCGUGGGGAGCGAACAGGAUUAGAUACCCUGGUAGUCCACGCCGUAAACGAUGAUAACUCGCUGUUGGCGAUACACAGUCAGCGGCUUAGCGAAAGCAUUAAGUUAUCCACCUGGGGAGUACGAUCGCAAGGUUGAAACUCAAAGGAAUUGACGGGGGCCCGCACAAGCGGAGGAACAUGUGGUUUAAUUCGAUGAUACGCGAGGAACCUUACCUGGGCUU
RNAcentral lists this ribosomal RNA (921 nucleotides) under uncultured Bacteroidales bacterium. RNAcentral describes it as "bacterial SSU rRNA". It matches the Rfam family "Bacterial small subunit ribosomal RNA", at positions 56 to 982 of the family's 1533-position model. The record is from RNAcentral. Lineage: Bacteria; Pseudomonadati; Bacteroidota; Bacteroidia; Bacteroidales.